Molecule: ribosomal RNA, 198 nt
Filed under: uncultured bacterium
Lineage: Bacteria
Description: partial 16S ribosomal RNA
Rfam family: Bacterial small subunit ribosomal RNA
Source: RNAcentral
ACGCUCGACACCUACGGGAGGCAGCAGUGGGGAAUAUUGCACAAUGGGGGAAACCCUGAUGCAGCGACGCCGCGUGGAGGAAGAAGGUCUUCGGAUUGUAAACUCCUGUUGUUGGGGAAAAAGNGGAUGGUACCCAACAAGGAAGUGACGGCUAACUACGUGCCAACAGCCGCGGUAAUCUGAGCGGGCUGGCAAGGC